This 448-nucleotide ribosomal RNA is filed under the name uncultured Lachnospiraceae bacterium. Its description in RNAcentral is "bacterial SSU rRNA". It matches the Rfam family "Bacterial small subunit ribosomal RNA", at positions 163 to 629 of the family's 1533-position model. Lineage: Bacteria; Bacillati; Bacillota; Clostridia; Lachnospirales; Lachnospiraceae. The record is from RNAcentral.
CUAAUACCGCAUAAGACCACAGCACCGCAUGGUGCAGGGGUAAAAACUCCGGUGGUACAGGAUGGACCCGCGUCUGAUUAGCUGGUUGGUGAGGUAACGGCUCACCAAGGCGACGAUCAGUAGCCGACCUGAGAGGGUGACCGGCCACAUUGGGACUGAGACACGGCCCAAACUCCUACGGGAGGCAGCAGUGGGGAAUAUUGCACAAUGGGGGAAACCCUGAUGCAGCGACGCCGCGUGAGCGAAGAAGUAUUUCGGUAUGUAAAGCUCUAUCAGCAGGGAAGAAAAUGACGGUACCUGACUAAGAAGCACCGGCUAAAUACGUGCCAGCAGCCGCGGUAAUACGUAUGGUGCAAGCGUUAUCCGGAUUUACUGGGUGUAAAGGGAGCGUAGACGGAUGGGCAAGUCUGAUCUGAAAACCCGGGGCUCAACCCCGGGACUGCAUUGG